UACAGAGGUCUCGAGCGUUAGGCGGAAUCACUGGGCUUAAAGCGUGUGUAGGCGGUUUGCUAAGUACCUUGUGAAAUCCCACGGCUCAACCGUGGAACUGCUUGGUAUACUGGUUAUCUUGAGCCACUUAGGGGCGAGCGGAACAAAUGGUGGAGCGGUGAAAUGCGCAGAUAUCAUUUGGAACACCAAUGGUGAAAACAGCUCGCUGGGAGUGUGCUGACGCUGAGACACGAAAGCCAGGGGAGCGAACGGG
This 253-nucleotide ribosomal RNA is filed under the name uncultured bacterium. RNAcentral describes it as "partial 16S ribosomal RNA". It matches the Rfam family "Bacterial small subunit ribosomal RNA", at positions 524 to 776 of the family's 1533-position model. The record is from RNAcentral.